Long non-coding RNA from Spinacia oleracea (spinach), 1039 nucleotides. RefSeq lists it as uncharacterized. The record is from RefSeq and is a predicted model, not a curated record. NCBI's taxonomy places the organism in Eukaryota, Viridiplantae, Streptophyta, Magnoliopsida, Caryophyllales, Amaranthaceae. The transcript is spliced from 4 exons.
UUAAGUACGUUCUAAAUAUUUAACGAUUUUUGAAACUUAUUAUAUUUAUAUAUUUAAUGUAUAUUUAAAUAUAUUCUAAAUAUUUUAACGAUUUGUGCAAUCAAGAAUAAUUUUAGAAUUUUAAGUUGAAAAGAAUUUGAAUUACGAAAAUCGAUUGAAUUUAGAAAACAAUCCUAUUCGGUUUGACUCAAACACUAAAACUCAAAUCCUAAUUCUAGGCCCAAUUGGGUAAAGCCCAAAUCAAUAAACCCAAAAUAAUCCUCCUCCUUCCUCUUUUCUUUUUCACGUGAAACCAAGAAACCUUCCUUCUUGCUUUAGCCUUCACGUGAAAACACAAAUCAAAAUCUUGCAACCUCCUUACUCUCAGCCGCCAAUCAACCACCGCUGGACCACCGUCGUCCCUUGGCGCCGUCCUCCUCUGCCGCCACCACCCAUCGCCGCCACCACCUGGUCGCUGCGGGUGUGCCCCUUUGUCGUGCCACCUUGCUGCACCGCACGCCAGCCAUAGCCGCGCCUUUCCAGCCAGCUUCCUCUUCUCUUUUCUUGCUUCUCCUUUGCGUGGUACCACCGCGACGUCGCACCACCACUGUCGCCGCACCACCAGACGCCGACCGUCCCACUGCCGCGCCCCCUGCUGCCGGCCAUCACUCUCUUCCUCACUUUUUGGUGGAGAAUUCUCUUUAGGCGACUUUUAAAAGUGUUAAAGUGACGUAUCAGUUUGUUUACACAAGUCUCUAAGGAUCAAUAAGCAUUGUCCAUCUGCAGGUUUGAAGAUGUUGCAUCAUUGGGAUCGGGAAUAGAGAGCUUGUAUUUAGUUUUGAUUUGCUAAAUUAACUUGGGUUUGUUAAUUGGGACUUUAAACUUGUCGUACUAUUUAUAUUUCCUUAUUUUCGUUGGUUGAUUUUUGGGGACUAAAUCUGUAAUCGAUUAUUUAUAAACCUAAAGUUAGUUUUAUGUUUUCCGCUGCAAAAUUCUGAAUAAGCCGUUACGUUUUCACACGGGCGAUAAUGCCUUGAUAAUUCUCUACGUUUUAUAUUAA